Neopsephotus bourkii (Bourke's parrot) is the source of this 2588-nucleotide long non-coding RNA. RefSeq lists it as uncharacterized. The record is from RefSeq and is a predicted model, not a curated record. The transcript is spliced from 3 exons. Lineage: Eukaryota; Metazoa; Chordata; Aves; Psittaciformes; Psittacidae.
UGCACCGUUGUUGCUGCCUUCCCUCCUUUUGCUGCUGCAACAUUUGUUUUCUUGAUGGGAAGAGUAAUAUUUUGUGACAAAGGCAGAGCAGCAGAAAUUGCUCCCCUUUCUGACUGUCCUUCAAGGAAAAUCUUUCAGAUCUGACUCUCCGGGGUCUGAAAUCAAUGCAGGCAUUAAGCAACGUGGCUUUACUAUUUGGAUAAAAUAGCCUAGUUUUGAUUAGGUGGGGAAUCGGAGGAUAAAGGGAUUUCUUUUUCCCAGAAUCGGGCAUAGAAUAGCAAUGUAAAAAGCUGGAUCAAAUAGCUAAAGCCAAUAUCUUCCCCUUGAGUCUUUCUUUUGGUUCCUUUGUAGCACAUCAACUUAAAAGAGACUUAAGCUCCAGUUUCUGAAGGUUGCUGAGUGGGAGGGUGAGAAAUAAAAGACAAAGGGAGUUUCACAGCUGCAGCCUCUUAGGAAAUUGUGGUAACAACCUGUCAUCCUUGGAGUCCUGGCUGAUAACGCUUCUGCAUGUCCUUGUGCCUGUUGGUCUUUACCUAAAUUAUCUGCUAUUUAAUAUUUAAUGAUGCUGUGUGACGCUGGGUACAGUGUAGUCCCUUUAGCGUGUUGUCCCCUUCCUGGUACUCAGGAAUGCAGCAUGGACAGGAGGGAAAAUAUGCUUUUUGAUUACAUUUUGCUCCUAAUGUGUUAAUCCUCUCCAGGCUGCUGAGCUGCUUAGUCUGUUGGCUACAUUUGGGCAAUGCAGACAAGAAGCCGAUGUGUACGCUUUCGCAUGCCUGCAGACAUACCUGUCCUUAUUCUGUGUUCUUACAACUUGGUGUCAAAAGGACAGGACAGGUACAAAAACGCUUAUCUUAACAUCUCCUAUGUUAAAGAGCUAUUCCUACUGGAUUGGCAUAGGGAUACAUGCUGCCAUUUCCUCCAAAAAGGUGUUUUUCCUAUGAAAUACCUGCAAUUUCCUUCCUAGAUCAAAGCACAGCCAUUCACAACAAUAGCAGAUGGGGUGAGAUUCCUGCAGCCCCUUCCUCUGCAAGGUUGCACUGCUCAAACCCAGCUUUGCUGCUUUUAUUCCUUAUACCUCAUUUUAGAGGCUAGGCCAGGCCUAAAGGCUCUGGAUGGGUGACAGGGCAUGCGGACAGAGCCACUUGUGACCCAGGGGUGACAAACCUGACCCUGUGUAGGGGACUGGCAAACACCUCACCCUGCACCCACAGAGCUGCCCUCAGGCACCAGCUCUGACUCCAGCUUCAAUCCCCCUUCUUUCCUGGUCUGCAGUAACUUCUUUUAGCCCUUCAUGCCGCCUGCCUGGAUCUUAGUCUCAUUUACAAGACGCAAGCUGCCAGGCUACCUGAAAUAUAUUGAAAGAAACAGCACAGAUAUCCCCACAGAUGUGACAACAGAAGAAUAGGAAGAGGGAAGAAUUCCCUUGGAUAUUUUGUCAGAGAAAUGUACCACAACUCUAAGCAAGUGAUGGGAUGACCCUUGGUGAACAGAAGAUGAAGCAAUGGAUGAAGCUCUUUGUGAGAAGAUGUGGAUGUUGGCAUCUCUUUGGUGGAGAGUUUGCACUGAUCACAGAUGAAGAGAGCAAGACACUGGAGCAGGUAUGGGACUAGAGAUCAAGGCUCUCAUCUGUAAUGCUUUGGUCUCUGACACCCCACAGAGAUCCCUGAUGGCCAAUGACUGCCUUUUCCAAAGAGGAACGUGUCCUGGUAGCAAGACCUCCAGUUUGUGAUAAAAAUAACUAUUACUUCACAGGCCCACAGAAAAGCACCUGCCUGGACAGCAGGAGACCAGCAAAUCACAGGCAUGAAGUGGACAUGUCAACUUCUGUGCAGAACACUUACCAGUGAAUGUAGGCUGCCCCAUCUUCACAUCUCCAUGGAAAACCUUGGGAUUAUCUUGAUUUUUAUCCACACAGGGAAGGUGAAAUGGUCUAAAUGUUAAUGAUUCAUGGGAUGCAGGCUGCCUCUCAGUUUCAAUAAAUGCAUUAUCCCUUUGUAAAGAGCUGUUUUGAAUUCAUAGAACGUUUUUAAAGUUUCUUUCAAAGACUGUGUUUUUUCUUUCCUCUCAUGUAUCUCAGAAGAAACCAGCCUGCCAAACUGAGUCCAGGCAGCUCUUCUGAGAUAGAGACAUCCAUCUCUGUGUACGGUCUGUACUUGUGAAGCAGAGCACAAAGCCCUUUUCCCCAUUUAAUCCAUAUUAAUUACCUCUCUUGCAGCUCCUCUAUAGUUUCCACUCAACCCAGGCGCCAAAACGUGUGCGGCUGCAUCUUGAACAAACCAGAGCCUUUCACUGCACACCUGGCAAGUGAACACUCCGAAAGUACAAGUAAAUAAAAAGGUUUAGUGCUGAAGGAUUGAAGCUCUCUCCAUGCUUGAAAACCGAAUGCCGUGGGACUGUGGACUAAGGCAGAUAUUUUUAGUGCCAUCAAUAUCUCCUGGAGUUGAUAUCUCCCAAGACAGAUGGUUGUUUCCCACAGAACGUUGUCAAAUGUUUGCUCAGCCAAGAUCAAUUUUGUUCCAAGUCCUUUCCCACCUUCUGGUGGAAGAUAUUUCACUUGCCAGACAAAAAAUUAAAGAAACAGCAUGAAA